CACUGCCGAGAAAAGCUUCUAGCCAGAGACGGUGCACCCGUACCGCAAACCGACACAGGUAGUCGAGGAGAGUAUCCUCAGGUGAGCGAGAGAACUCUCGUUAAGGAACUCGGCAAAAUGGCCCCGUAACUUCGGGAGAAGGGGCGCUGGUCGCAAGAUCAGCCGCAGUGAAAAGGCCCAAGCAACUGUUUAUCAAAAACACAGGCAUCUGCAAAAUCGUAAGAUGAAGUAUAGGUGCUGACACCUGCCCGGUGCUGGAAGGUUAAGAGGAGAGCUUAGCGCAAGCGAAGGUUUGAAUUGAAGCCCCAGUAAACGGCGGCCGUAACUAUAACGGUCCUAAGGUAGCGAAAUUCCUUGUCGGGUAAGUUCCGACCUGCACGAAAGGUGUAAUGAUUUGGGCACUGUCUCAACGAGAGACUCGGUGAAAUUAUAAUACCCGUGAAGAUGCGGGUUACCCGCGACAGGACGGAAAGACC
RNAcentral lists this ribosomal RNA (476 nucleotides) under Lactobacillus delbrueckii subsp. bulgaricus. RNAcentral's name for it is "partial 23S ribosomal RNA". It matches the Rfam family "Bacterial large subunit ribosomal RNA", at positions 1603 to 2090 of the family's 2925-position model. Lineage: Bacteria; Bacillati; Bacillota; Bacilli; Lactobacillales; Lactobacillaceae. The record is from RNAcentral.